Molecule: ribosomal RNA, 217 nt
Filed under: Campeiostachys nutans
Lineage: Eukaryota; Viridiplantae; Streptophyta; Magnoliopsida; Poales; Poaceae
Description: Elymus nutans partial small subunit ribosomal RNA
Rfam family: Eukaryotic small subunit ribosomal RNA (bases 47-217)
Source: RNAcentral
GGGUCUACCCAUUGGUCAGGCUUAAUUGUCUGUACUGGUGAGAUGGAUCUCUACCUUCUGAGGAACUUUCAUGCCAUUUAUUUGGUGUGGUUGGAAAUCAGGACUGUUACUUUGAAAAAAUUAGAGUGUUUAAAGCAGGCUCACGCUUGAAUACAUUAGCAUGGAAUAACGGAAUAGGACGUUUGAUUCUAUUUUGUUGGUUUCUAGGAUCGACGUA